GAUGAACGCUGGCGGCGUGCCUAAUACAUGCAAGUCGAGCGAACGGACGAGAAGCUUGCUUUUCUGAUGUUAGCGGCGGACGGGUGAGUAACACGUGGAUACCCUACCUAUAAGACUGGGAUAACUUCGGGAAACCGGAGCUCAUACCGGAUCAUAUUUUGAACCGCAUGGUUCAAAAGUGAAAGCGCGUCUUGCUGUCACUUAUAGAUGUAUCCGCGCUGCAUUAGCUAGUUGGUAAGGUAACGGCUUACCAAGGCAACGAUGCAUAGCCGACCUGAGAGGGUGAUCGGCCACACUGGAACUGAGACACGGUCCAGACUCCUACGGGAGGCAGCAGUAGGGAAUCUUGCGCAAUGGGCGAAAGCCUGACGGAGCAACGCCGCGUGAGUGAUGAAGGUCUUCGGAUCGUAAAACUCUGUUAUUAGGGAAGAACAUAUGUGUAAGUAACUGUGCACAUCUUGACGGUACCUAAUCAGAAAGCCACGGCUAACUACGUG
Molecule: ribosomal RNA, 497 nt
Filed under: uncultured bacterium
Lineage: Bacteria
Description: partial 16S ribosomal RNA
Rfam family: Bacterial small subunit ribosomal RNA
Source: RNAcentral